UGAGGAAUAUUGGUCAAUGGAGGCAACUCUGAACCAGCCACGUCGCGUGAAGGAUGACGGCCCUACGGGUUGUAAACUUCUUUUAUACAGGAAUAAAGUGAGUCACGUGUGACUUUUUGCAUGUACUGUAUGAAUAAGGAUCGGCUAACUCCGUGCCAGCAGCCGCGGUAAUACGGAGGAUCCGAGCGUUAUCCGGAUUUAUUGGGUUUAAAGGGUGCGCAGGCGGGAGAUUAAGUCGGCGGUGAAAUUUUGCAGCUCAACUGUAAAAGUGCCUUCGAAACUGGUUUCCUUGAGUGUAGAUGAAGUAGGCGGAAUUUGUGGUGUAGCGGUGAAAUGCAUAGAUAUCACGAGGAACUCCGAUUGCGAAGGCAGCUUACUAAGCUACUACUGACGCUCAGGCACGAAGGCGUGGGGAUCAAACAGG
This 424-nucleotide ribosomal RNA is filed under the name uncultured prokaryote. Its description in RNAcentral is "bacterial SSU rRNA". It matches the Rfam family "Bacterial small subunit ribosomal RNA", at positions 355 to 776 of the family's 1533-position model. The record is from RNAcentral. RNAcentral also lists the same sequence under 1 other name.